UUCUCUGUGUGUGUGUUCACUACAGUAAAAAAAAAUAUUUUGUAAACCAGCAAUCAACUAAUAUUACAGCUUAUAAUUUCUGGCCUCAACUAGGAAAGCAGUCAGCAGAACCAGUUCUAAGACAGACUGUGUCAACUGUGACAGAAAAAUAUUAUUGGAACUUGCUAUUUGUGAUGCAGAGAAUUUUCAGGGAAGCCCAGGACAUCUUUCAGCUGAUGGGACACAUACAUGAAAUGUAGUCCAGAAAUGGCUCCAAAGAACUUUCAGCAUCAAUCAACAAGAUAGAUGAAAGAGGAAGAGAGAAGCAGCACUGCUUGCCCACAUAUGAAGUCAAGAGGUGAGUGACAGAAAAGAGAAAAAAAAUGUUUCAGAUUUGUAUGAUUAAUAUGCAGUAUUUAAAAUCUAACUGGAUUGCUUUGUGAUGAUCAAAUAAGUAGCAGAGGUAGGAUGCUGAAUAUUAUGAACUUUACAUAACAGCCACCUCUCAUCACUCUUUUAAAACAUGAACCAAUUUGUUUCCAGCACAUCCCUGGAUGAAUAACUGCACUGUUGUCUAAAGGGUGGUAAGCUUGAAACACAUAAAUGUAGGGGGUGGAGGAAAGCCCAAGACUGCAUAGAAACUGUUUUCUUGCCUCCUGUUUCAUUGUGGUUGACAACAGAUCUCAUACUAUCCCUUGCCUGCAGCCUACAAUGAAAGUAUUUUUUAUAACAACCUCUAUUGUUAAUUUUCAAGAAGAUGAAAAUGUCUAUAGAAAAGCCAGUGUCACAGAUGAAGACUGAAGUGGCCAAAAUACAUGAAGCAUUAUAUGAUUAAGAUUUUUUUACUGUUCAGCCAGUCACAUCUUUCUUCUCCUUUGAGACAGAUAUAUUUUGAAAUGGCUGUAUUAAGUUAAAAAAAAUCUAUGCCUUGCCUUAACGCUGGGUUUUAUAUCCUAUCCUUUCACAUGUGUGCUUGUGUGUGUGUGUGUGUAAGAUUACUUUAUUAGCUGCCAAGAAAACGUCCUUUAAGGAUUACACUAAAUCUUUAAUUUUGCAGUCAGUGAGAGGGCAUUUCAGAUGAUAUCCAGUGAUAUUCAUAGGGGUUUUUUUCUGGUCUAAUAUCUCACCUAUUCUGCUCCCAAACAAGAAUAAUAUUCUGACAAAAGUAGACCACACCUGAGUUGCAAGGCAGACAACCAAAUAAAGGAGCUGCCUGGCUAAGACCUGGAACUGAU
This 1214-nucleotide long non-coding RNA is filed under the name Cyanistes caeruleus (blue tit). Its description in RNAcentral is "lncRNA (ENSCCEG00000004017.1)". The record is from RNAcentral. Lineage: Eukaryota; Metazoa; Chordata; Aves; Passeriformes; Paridae.